CACAAAGACGAGGAAGGACAUAGUAAUCGAUGAAAUUCUUCAAUGAGUAGAAAAUAAGCAUAGAUCCGAUGAUUCCUGAAUAGGGAGACCUUUCAAACUGUUGUUAAAUCCAUGGGAAGGCAAGAGACAAACUGGCAAACUGUAACAUCUUAGUAGCCAGAGGAAAAGAAAGCAAAAGUGACCCCAUAGUAGUGGCGAGUGAAAUGGGAGCAGCCUAAACCGUGAAAUUGGUGUUGUGGGAGACCAAUACAAUCGUCGAGCUUCUAGGAGAAGCAACAUGAUUGAUGCACCAUAGAUAGAGAAAGUCUAGUAGCUGAAAGCAUCACUAGCUUACUCUCUGACAUGAGUAGCAUUGGGCACGUGGAAUUCUGUGUGGAUCAACAAGGACAAACUUGCUAGGCAAAAUACUCCUUGUG
This 416-nucleotide non-coding RNA is filed under the name Solanum lycopersicum (tomato). RNAcentral describes it as "Bacterial large subunit ribosomal RNA". It matches the Rfam family "Bacterial large subunit ribosomal RNA", at positions 39 to 480 of the family's 2925-position model. Lineage: Eukaryota; Viridiplantae; Streptophyta; Magnoliopsida; Solanales; Solanaceae. The record is from Rfam by way of RNAcentral.